GACGAGUGGUCCUAGCGUUAGUCGGAAUCACUGGGCUUAAAGGGUGCGUAGGUGGGCUUGUAAGUGCUUUGUGAAAGCCCCCGGCUCAACCGGGGAACCGCAGGGCAUACUGCAAGUCUUGAGGAAACUAGAGGCCGGUAGAACGAUAGGUGGAGCGGUGGAAUGCGUAGAGAUCUAUCGGAAUGCCGAAGGUGAAGACAGCCGGCUGGGGUUUUCCUGACACUGAGGCACGAAAGCGUGGGGAGCAAACAGG
Molecule: ribosomal RNA, 253 nt
Filed under: uncultured bacterium
Lineage: Bacteria
Description: partial 16S ribosomal RNA
Rfam family: Bacterial small subunit ribosomal RNA
Source: RNAcentral